AUGGCCAUGGUGCUGGACGCCUUCGCGUCCUACAUCGCCGACACGAUCAAGCAGAUGGCGGCGGACGAGGUGGGGAUGCUGCUCGGCGUCACCGGGGAAAUCGACAGCCUGCACGACAAGCUGGAGAGCCUCAGGGACUACCUCGCCGAUGCCGAGAGGAAGCGCAUCACUGAUCGGACGGUGCAGGGGUGGGUCACAAGCUCAAGGGCGUCAUCACCCUCACCCUGCUGCAACCCGCUGCUCUUCUGCUUGCGGCAUCCCAUGUUCGCAAAUGAUAUUGGCAGCCGCAUCAGGAAGCUCAACAAGAGGCUGGACGACAUCUGCAAGCUCGGUGCUGCCUUCAGCUUCAUCAAGCUAGAGACCUACCAGGACUGCAGGCCCGGACGACCUUCUGCGGCAGACCGGAAGACAGAUCCCGUGUUGGAGCGCUCGGCCGUGGUAGGGGAGAAGAUCGAAGAGGAUACACGAGCACUGGUGAAGGAGCUGACAAAGGAUAAUGAUGGCAUCGUGGUGCUCGCAAUCGUGGGUGUUGGUGGGAUCGGGAAGACCACCCUUGCCAAGAAGGUCUUCAACCACGAGGAAAUUCAACACAAAUUUGAAAAGAAGAUGUGGCUGAGCGUCACACAAGACUUCAGCGAGGUUGAGCUGCUAAGGUUGGCCAUCACCACCGCCGAUGGAAAACUCCCUGCAACUGAAGACAAAUCUAUGCUUGUGCCGGCCCUUCUCAAUGCUGUCAGAAAUCAGAAGUUUCUUCUGAAACCAACCAUGGCCAUGGUGUUGGACGCCUUCGCGUCCUACAUCGCCGGCACGAUCAAGAAGAUGGCGGAGGAUGAGGUGGGGAUGCUGCUCGGCGUCACCGGGGAGAUCGAGAGCCUACAGGACAAGCUGGAGAGCCUCAGGGACUACCUCGCCGACGCUGACAGGAAGCGCAUCACUGACCGGAGGGUGCAGGGGUGGGUCACGAAGCUCAAGGGUGUCAUCAUCCCAUGUUCGGCUCACCACAUUGGUAGCUGCAUCAGGAAGCUCAACAAGAGGCUGGACGACAUCUGCAAGCUCGGUGCUGCCUUCAACUUCAUCAAGCUGGAGACCUACCAGGACUACUGGCCCGGAUGGCCUUCUGCGGCUGACCGGAAGACGGAUCCGGUGUUGGAGCGCUCGGCCGUGGUAGAGGAGAAGCUUGAAGAGGAUACGAGAGCGUUGGUGAAGGAGCUGACAAAGGAUAAUGAUGGCAUCGUGGUGCUCGCAAUCGUGGGUGUUGGUGGGAUCGGGAAGACCACCCUUGCCAAGAAGGUCUUCAACGAUAUGGAAAUUCAACACAAAUUUGAAAAGAAGAUGUGGCUGAGCGUCACACAAGACUUCAGCGAGGUUGAGCUGCUAAGUGUCAUGCGGCACAUUCUCCAUGUCAUCAUCGCCAUCCUUGUCAAGACCAGUGUCAAUGCCACCAAAACCAUCCCCAUCUAG
This 1461-nucleotide ribosomal RNA is filed under the name Triticum aestivum (bread wheat). RNAcentral's name for it is "partial small subunit ribosomal RNA". Lineage: Eukaryota; Viridiplantae; Streptophyta; Magnoliopsida; Poales; Poaceae. The record is from RNAcentral.